GCUGUUCUCAUGAUAGUGAGUAAGUUAUUGCAAGAUCUGGUGGUUUUAUAAAGGGUUAUUCCUUCUUUGCUCAGCACUUCUUCCUGCUGCCAUGUGAAGAAGAACAUAUUUGCUUCCCCUUCUGCCAUGACUCAGAAAGGUCAGCCCCCUGCUGCAAGUUCUUAGAUUCCCGGAGGAUCUGCAGAGUCAACAUUAGGAGUAUCCGUCCAUUCACCAAGGCCAUCAGGAAUGUGCUGCCCCAGGAACAAUCAGAAACCAAGAGAUGGGAAUGAAGAGGGUGAGUGAUCUGGAGUCCUGAGGUGGGUGCCCCACAUGCUCCAGCGUUGUUUUUCCUUUUAAUUGUGCCAUCCUGGUGCACUGGAAUUUUCAUCUCAAAAGCUGUCAUUUGGUGUUGGUGGGAAGACAUUUUAAAGGUUCUAGAUGGUUUUGGUGAAACUCAGUUAAAUUGGACUCAGAUUAAUUUGGUUUAUCUGAAAUAUGAAAGGUAGAUUCAAAGUUUUAAAUUUGAGGAAAAGCAUGGUUUCUCCCCCAUCACUUUCUGCAUGACCUAUGACAUAUAAGCUUUUUGUUGUGAAUAAGCCGUUGGGUUUUGUUCUAAUCAGACCCACUCAAUGGUCAUAGUUCCUCUUUCUUAAGUUUUUUAAGGUCUUAGUUAAUAAAAUGCUUUAUUUGUUCUUUUUCAUAAAAAAAUUA
RNAcentral lists this small RNA (693 nucleotides) under Pan troglodytes (chimpanzee). RNAcentral's name for it is "processed transcript". Lineage: Eukaryota; Metazoa; Chordata; Mammalia; Primates; Hominidae. The record is from RNAcentral.